Molecule: ribosomal RNA, 481 nt
Filed under: uncultured bacterium
Lineage: Bacteria
Description: bacterial SSU rRNA
Rfam family: Bacterial small subunit ribosomal RNA
Source: RNAcentral
GAUGAACGCUGGCGGCGUGCUUAACACAUGCAAGUCGAACGAAGCACUUUCAUGGAUCCCUUUCGGGGGUGAAGUGAAAGUGACUGAGUGGCGGACGGGUGAGUAACGCGUGGGUAACCUGCCUCAUACAGGGGGAUAACAGUUGGAAACGACUGCUAAUACCGCAUAAGCGCACAGCUUCGCAUGAAGUGGUGUGAAAAGAUUUAUCAGUAUGAGAUGGACCCGCGUCUGAUUAGCUAGUUGGUGAGGUAACGGCCCACCAAGGCGACGAUCAGUAGCCGGCUUGAGAGAGUGAACGGCCACAUUGGGACUGAGACACGGCCCAAACUCCUACGGGAGGCAGCAGUGGGGAAUAUUGCACAAUGGGCGAAAGCCUGAUGCAGCGACGCCGCGUGAGUGAAGAAGUAUUUCGGUAUGUAAAGCUCUAUCAGCAGGGACGAUAAUGACGGUACCUGACUAAGAAGCCCCGGCUAACUACGUG